RNAcentral lists this long non-coding RNA (594 nucleotides) under Hordeum vulgare. Its description in RNAcentral is "long non-coding RNA (HVUL_LNC021192)". The record is from RNAcentral. Lineage: Eukaryota; Viridiplantae; Streptophyta; Magnoliopsida; Poales; Poaceae.
GAAGAUCAGCGUCAUCACCUCCACGAACAUGCAUCCAUGUUUGCAUCUUCACCUUUAAAAUGGAAAACUGCAAAAAAGAAUGGUCAAUGAAGAAUAUAACUAGUUAAUCAUCUGUUGCACGGCCUCUUGUGCAUGCCCCAACAAUUCUCAGUGUUAGAUCUGUCCUGUUCAUGGCAGACAGUACGAUCGCCCAAAUUCAGAAUAUGAUAACAUGUUGUACUAUGCAUCAUGAUGGAAACGGUGCUUAUCUGUGCAUAUCGCUGCCAUUUUUCUUGGAGGUGAUGUCGUACAUAGGUGCUAGACAUUUCGUGUAGACAGCCGGCUGCGCGAUCUCGAAACCGCGUUUCCUCACGUUGUUUGCCGCAGCCGCUACUCAGAUGAGCACCGCGUGGCCAGCUCCGUUGAGGACGGCGGUGGGGGAUGUGCACGGGAACUGAGACCUAGUCGACAUCACCUCCAGCUCGCCCGGAAUUAGUUGCUGCGCUUGACGAUGGUAGGAAGAUUGGAGAGUGGAAACGAGAGGAGGAGGUGGCUGGAUGGAAGGGACGCGUCUUGGAACAUUUUUUUUGGGAAAUCAAAACAACAGGCUGCACG